GGAUGUGAGGACAAUCUGGCUGCAACUUCUGUCACUUUAUGGAUCACCAGGGUUGAUUCAGCUAACCUGGCUGACUAGGCGGUUGUUCCCCCUUCCUCCCUUACCACUCCAUGAAGCUUCAUGACCUUCCCUGAAAAGAGGAGGACCAGUGAUGGAUAUCCUAGUACGCUGUACUCCCCUGCUAGAACUUCCAACACUCACUUGUAGCCCAGGCAGAUCUUCCUGCUUUAUAGCCUCCCAGGUAGCUGGGCUAACAAGCCUGUCCCACCAGACCUCACUCAGCUGUCAGCCACAUCCAGCUGAGCACAGCU
Cricetulus griseus (Chinese hamster) is the source of this 311-nucleotide unclassified non-coding RNA. Its record names the gene 7SK. It matches the Rfam family "7SK RNA". From Rfam's summary of the family: 7SK was discovered as an abundant small nuclear RNA in the mid-70s but a possible function has only recently been suggested. Two independent studies have found that 7SK RNA binds the CDK9/cyclin T complex (known as elongation factor P-TEFb). The record is from Ensembl. Lineage: Eukaryota; Metazoa; Chordata; Mammalia; Rodentia; Cricetidae.